CCCUUAGAUGUCCUGGGCUGCACGCGCGCUACACUGAUACAUUCAUCGAGUGUUUCCUUCUCCGAAAGGAGUGGGUACUCUUCUGAACGUGUGUCGUGAUGGGGAUAGAUUAUUGCAAUUAUUAAUCUUCAACGAGGAAUUCCUAGUAAGUGCAAGUCAUCAGCUUGCGUUGAUUACGUCCCUGCCCUUUGUACACACCGCCCGUCGCACCUACCGAUUGAAUGGUCCGGUGAAAUCUCGGGACGGCGGCUUGGUCGCUUGCGUCCGACUGCUGAAACUUGAUUAAACCAUAUCAUUUAGAGGAAGGUGAANUCGUANCA
Molecule: ribosomal RNA, 320 nt
Filed under: uncultured eukaryote
Lineage: Eukaryota
Description: partial 18S ribosomal RNA
Rfam family: Eukaryotic small subunit ribosomal RNA
Source: RNAcentral